RNAcentral lists this ribosomal RNA (392 nucleotides) under Eupraxillella cf. antarctica MB. RNAcentral's name for it is "partial 16S ribosomal RNA". It matches the Rfam family "Bacterial large subunit ribosomal RNA", at positions 1935 to 2545 of the family's 2925-position model. Lineage: Eukaryota; Metazoa; Annelida; Polychaeta; Maldanidae. The record is from RNAcentral.
GGUAUCCUGACCGUGCUAAGGUAGCAUAUAAUACGCCCUUUAAUUGUGGGCUAGAAUGAAUGGAUAAACGAAAGUUAAGCUGUCUCUAAAAUAAUACUAUAAAUUUACCUUCAGGUGAAGAGGCCUGAAUCAACCUAAAAGACAAAAAGACCCCGUAGAGCUUAAUUAAAUCUAAUAUAAAUAAAAAAUAUAUUAUAUUUUUAUUUAUAAUUAGUGUAAUUUAACUGGGGCGGUUAAGGAGCAAAAACCCUCCUUUUUAUAAACAGGUUCCCAACCAUUACAUGAUCCUAUACAGAUUAAAGAAAAAAGCUACCUCGGGGAUAACAGGCUAAUAUCUUUUGAGAGUACAUAUCGAAAAAGAAGUUUGGCACCUCGAUGUUGGCUUAGGAAAA